AUUGAACGCUGGCGGCAGGCCUAACACAUGCAAGUCGAGCGGAUGAAGGGAGCUUGCUCCUGGAUUCAGCGGCGGACGGGUGAGUAAUGCCUAGGAAUCUGCCUGGUAGUGGGGGAUAACGUCCGGAAACGGGCGCUAAUACUGCCUACGUCCUGAGGGAGAAAGUGGGGGAUCUUCGGACCUCACGCUAUCAGAUGAGCCUAGGUCGGAUUAGCUAGUUGGUGGGGUAAAGGCCUACCAAGGCGACGAUCCGUAACUGGUCUGAGAGGAUGAUCAGUCACACUGGAACUGAGACACGGUCCAGACUCCUACGGGAGGCAGCAGUGGGGAAUAUUGGACAAUGGGCGAAAGCCUGAUCCAGCCAUGCCGCGUGUGUGAAGAAGGUCUUCGGAUUGUAAAGCACUUUAAGUUGGGAGGAAGGGCAGUAAGUUAAUACCUUGCUGUUUUGACGUUACCAACAGAAUAAGCACCGGCUAACUUCGUG
Molecule: ribosomal RNA, 484 nt
Filed under: uncultured bacterium
Lineage: Bacteria
Description: partial 16S ribosomal RNA
Rfam family: Bacterial small subunit ribosomal RNA
Source: RNAcentral